CCUACGGGUGGCAGCAGUGGGGAAUAUUGCGCAAUGGGCGAAAGCCUGACGCAGCGACGCCGCGUGAGGGAUGAAGGUCUUCGGAUCGUAAACCUCUGUCAGCAGUGAAGAACGGUCACUGUGCUAAUCAGCAGUGAAUUGACGGUACCUGCAAAGGAAGCACCGGCUAACUCCGUGCCAGCAGCCGCGGUAAUACGGAGGGUGCGAGCGUUAAUCGGAAUUACUGGGCGUAAAGCGCUCGUAGGCGGUAUGUCAAGUCAAGGGUGAAAUCCCCGCGCUCAACGUGGGAACUGCCUUUGAAACUGGCAAACUGGAGUGUGUGAGAGGAGAGUGGAAUUCCAGGUGUAGGAGUGAAAUCCGUAGAUAUCUGGAGGAACAUCAGUGGCGAAGGCGACUAUCUGGAACAUAACUGACGCUGAGGAGCGAAAGCGUGGGUAGCAAACAGGAUUAGAUACCCUAGUAGUC
RNAcentral lists this ribosomal RNA (465 nucleotides) under uncultured bacterium. Its description in RNAcentral is "partial 16S ribosomal RNA". It matches the Rfam family "Bacterial small subunit ribosomal RNA", at positions 338 to 795 of the family's 1533-position model. The record is from RNAcentral.